Molecule: transfer RNA, 74 nt
Filed under: bacterium SM23_31
Lineage: Bacteria
Also listed under: 1 other name
Description: tRNA-Arg
Rfam family: tRNA
About the family: Transfer RNA (tRNA) molecules are approximately 80 nucleotides in length. Their secondary structure includes four short double-helical elements and three loops (D, anti-codon, and T loops). Further hydrogen bonds mediate the characteristic L-shaped molecular structure. tRNAs have two regions of fundamental functional importance: the anti-codon, which is responsible for specific mRNA codon recognition, and the 3' end, to which the tRNAs corresponding amino acid is attached (by aminoacyl-tRNA synthetases). tRNAs cope with the degeneracy of the genetic code in two manners: having more than one tRNA (with a specific anti-codon) for a particular amino acid; and 'wobble' base-pairing, i.e. permitting non-standard base-pairing at the 3rd anti-codon position.
Source: RNAcentral
GCCCCUGUAGCUCAGAAGGAUAGAGCAGAGGUUUCCUAAACCUUUGGUCGCAGGUUCGAGUCCUGCCAGGGGUA